Molecule: ribosomal RNA, 492 nt
Filed under: uncultured bacterium
Lineage: Bacteria
Description: partial 16S ribosomal RNA
Rfam family: Bacterial small subunit ribosomal RNA
Source: RNAcentral
AGUGAACGCUGGCGGCAGGCCUAACACAUGCAAGUCGAACGGCAGCACAGUAAGAGCUUGCUCUUACGGGUGGCGAGUGGCGGACGGGUGAGGAAUAUAUCGGAAUCUACUUUUUCGUGGGGGAUAACGUAGGGAAACUUACGCUAAUACCGCAUACGACCUACGGGUGAAAGCAUGGGAUCUUCGGACCUUGCGCGAUUGAAUGAGCCGAUGUCGGAUUAGCUAGUUGGCGGGGUAAAGGCCCACCAAGGCGACGAUCCGUAGCUGGUCUGAGAGGAUGAUCAGCCACACUGGAACUGAGACACGGUCCAGACUCCUACGGGAGGCAGCAGUGGGGAAUAUUGGACAAUGGGCGCAAGCCUGAUCCAGCCAUACCGCGUGGGUGAAGAAGGCCUUCGGGUUGUAAAGCCCUUUUGUUGGGAAAGAAAAGCAGCAGGUUAAUACCCCGCUGUUCUGACGGUACCCAAAGAAUAAGCACCGGCUAACUUCGUG